This 86-nucleotide transfer RNA is filed under the name Nematostella vectensis (starlet sea anemone). It matches the Rfam family "tRNA". From Rfam's summary of the family: Transfer RNA (tRNA) molecules are approximately 80 nucleotides in length. Their secondary structure includes four short double-helical elements and three loops (D, anti-codon, and T loops). Lineage: Eukaryota; Metazoa; Cnidaria; Anthozoa; Actiniaria; Edwardsiidae. The record is from Rfam by way of RNAcentral.
CCUUCGAUAGCUCAAUUGGUAGAGCGGGGGACUGUAGAUUUAUAAUUGUGAUCCCUAGGUCGCUGGUUCGAAUCCGGCUCGAUGUA